RNAcentral lists this ribosomal RNA (469 nucleotides) under uncultured Alcaligenes sp. RNAcentral describes it as "bacterial SSU rRNA". It matches the Rfam family "Bacterial small subunit ribosomal RNA", at positions 65 to 526 of the family's 1533-position model. Lineage: Bacteria; Pseudomonadati; Pseudomonadota; Betaproteobacteria; Burkholderiales; Alcaligenaceae. The record is from RNAcentral.
GGCAGCGCGAGAGAGCUUGCUCUCUUGGCGGCGAGUGGCGGACGGGUGAGUAAUAUAUCGGAACGUGCCCAGUAGCGGGGGAUAACUACUCGAAAGAGUGGCUAAUACCGCAUACGCCCUACGGGGGAAAGGGGGGGAUCGCAAGACCUCUCACUAUUGGAGCGGCCGAUAUCGGAUUAGCUAGUUGGUGGGGUAAAGGCUCACCAAGGCAACGAUCCGUAGCUGGUUUGAGAGGACGACCAGCCACACUGGGACUGAGACACGGCCCAGACUCCUACGGGAGGCAGCAGUGGGGAAUUUUGGACAAUGGGGGAAACCCUGAUCCAGCCAUCCCGCGUGUAUGAUGAAGGCCUUCGGGUUGUAAAGUACUUUUGGCAGAGAAGAAAAGGUAUCCCCUAAUACGGGAUACUGCUGACGGUAUCUGCAGAAUAAGCACCGGCUAACUACGUGCCAGCAGCCGCGGUAAUAC